AAAACUCACCAGGUCAGGACACGGUAAGGAUUGACGGACUGAAGGCUCUUUCUCGAUUCCGUGGAAAGUGGUGCAUGGCCGUUUUUGGUUGGUGGAUCGAUCCGUCUGGUUAAUUCCGUUAACGAACGAGACCUCGGCACUCCGAAUAGCGCGGCGGACGUCGCGGCCUCCGGGCCGUCUUCCGCACGAGCUUCUUAGAGGGACCGUCCCCCGCCGGGGAAGGAGGUGCGAGGCAACGACAGGUCUGUGAUGCCCUUAGAUGUUCUGGGCCGCACGCGCAUUACACUGACGCGUCCAACGGGUGACUCCCGACCCGAAGGGGCCGGGGAAUCCGCAAGGCGCGUCGUGAUGGGGAUUGAACGUUGCAAUUGUUGUUCACGAACGAGGAAUUCCUAGUAGGCGCGGGGUCAUCAACCCGCGCCGAUUACGUCCCUGCCCUUUGUACACACCGCCC
RNAcentral lists this ribosomal RNA (454 nucleotides) under uncultured eukaryote. RNAcentral's name for it is "bacterial SSU rRNA". It matches the Rfam family "Eukaryotic small subunit ribosomal RNA", at positions 1210 to 1674 of the family's 1831-position model. The record is from RNAcentral.